This is a non-coding RNA of Gossypium hirsutum (cotton), 145 nucleotides long. NCBI's taxonomy places the organism in Eukaryota, Viridiplantae, Streptophyta, Magnoliopsida, Malvales, Malvaceae. The record is from Rfam.
UAUUAAAAAAUUUAUUUAUUUUUACUAUUAAAAACUAGUAUGGUUGAUAGAAUAACCAAAUUGUGACACGUGACGUGUUAUGUGUACCUUAUGUUAACAUACAAAAACUAUUUUUUAACGGUAGAAAUAUAUGAAAAUUUUAACA